Long non-coding RNA from Vicia villosa (hairy vetch), 2324 nucleotides. RefSeq lists it as uncharacterized. The transcript is spliced from 3 exons. The record is from RefSeq and is a predicted model, not a curated record. NCBI's taxonomy places the organism in Eukaryota, Viridiplantae, Streptophyta, Magnoliopsida, Fabales, Fabaceae.
UUCAACCCACCAAUUGUGUAAAAACGGUUUCUCUUCCAUUACCGGCAACCGUCCCUCACUCAUAAAAACACACGUUGAUUCUAAUGCAGAACAGUGGAGACCCAUUGUUGAAGAAGUUACUGGUCUUUCUGCACAAAUGGUAGAUGACAAUGUACAUCCCUUUUUGUGUCCAAUGAAUGAAUGUUAUUGUGAUGGUGAUGAGUCAGGGUACUGGAAAAUCUGCUUUGUUAAAUAGUCUCAUUAUUGUUUCAGGUUUGAAUCUCAUUGGUCGUUAAUGCUCAUUAUCGUUUCAGGUUUGAAUCUCAUAUUAUCUUGGUCGGCUUAGCAGCGGUGUUUCGAUUUCACGGAAUGAAAGUUGCAUUUUCUGUUGAUCCAUUUUAUUAGUUAUUCUGUUAAUCCAGUCUUCUUGCAUGUAGAUAUAAAAUUGAACUACUAUGCAAAACCCAAUCCGUUGCUUUCAACUUCAACUUUCAAUUUCAACUUCUAUUAUGCAAAACCUAAACCUAUGAUUUAUAAUAAGAGAACAUCUAUAUGAUUUAUAUAAUGUAAUUAUAUAUUUGUAUAUUGGUUUGCAAUAUCGGUUCUGACAACGAUUCAGAUUUUGCAGAAUUGGUUAAGUUUUUAUCACACCAUAACCAAUUUUACAGCAACACACAUUUAAGUUCUGAUAUAUUUCAACAAGAGUAACUGAUUUAAACAUGCAUGAUAUAUCGGUUAAAACUUUAUAAACAACGAUGAAUACACCAAAAUAGUCUUUUUUUUUUAUUGUUUUCACUGUUAAUAUACAUACAUACUAAAUAAGUCUCAUUCAAUUCAAUUUAACAACUGGAUUCACAAGUUCAAAGAUGUUGUGUGUAUCCAGAGCACAUAAGAAGGUUGAGCGUGAAUAGAUCUUGCAUCAGCAACUCAAAGAGGGUAUCACUCUUCGGCGGUUUUAAAGAUACAAGCUAUAUUUUGUUUGUGAUGGUUCGAGCGAAUAGUUCAUGGACGCCAGAAGGACAAGGAAGGUAUAAUAACACUUUUUCUGAUGGAAUGGGAAGUGCUAAGGAAAAGGCUGUGAUUAUUCCAAUUGUUCUAGGAAUGAUAGUUCUCAUUAUUUUACUCUAUAUGGUACGGUAUUAUAGUGUUCAUAGAAAAAGAACUUUGAAAAGAGAGAUGGAAAGUUCAUUGGUCUUAUCAGUUGCUCCGGUGAAUUAUACUUUAUGCGCUUUGCAAAUCAGGACAAGCAACUUUUCGCAGCUUCUAGGAACAGGUAUGUGUGUUAUGUAUUGAAUUGAAUCUUACUGCGUUAUGAUUUCAGUAUAAUUUGUUGCUAACUGUUUAUAUUUUGUAGGUGGAUUUAGAUGUGUGUAUAAAGGAAGCUUAGGAGAUGGUACCUUAGUGGCGGUGAAGAAACUUGAUAAGAUUUUGCCUCAUGGAGAAAAAUAAUUUAUUACUAAAGUAAACACGAUUUCCUCAAUGCAUCAUAUGAAUUUGGUUCGUCUAUGUGGUUUUUGUUCGAAAAGACCUCAGAGCCUUUUAGUUUACGAGUUCAUGAAGAAUGGUUCAUUGGAUCAGUGGAUCUUCCCUUCGAUUAGAGGACGAGAUAGAUUGCUCGGGAGGAUAAGAUUGUCGUUACGGUAAGGUUAAGACCUUUAAACAGGAGGGAACAAUUGGCUAAAUACCAGGUGGCAUGGGAUUGCAUUGAUGAUUAUUCUAUUGUGUAUUUACAUUAUUUAUUCAGCCGAGUUCCGUAUAUAAGUUUUAACUAAUGUCACCUAGGCGGUUAAGUGUUUGAUGACAUUGGUUUUUCUCAUUGUAGACAAAGUUUUUGGUCCGGCUUCAAUUACAGAAGCAGUAUACGAAGGAGUAAAGAAUGUCGCAUUGUCUUCGCUGAUGGGGAUCAAUGGUAUUGUAUUGAAAUCAUCACUAUUCUUAUUUUCAUCAACUUAUUAUUAGUGAAUUGGUUUUGUCGGUGUGAAUACAUCAGCGGUUAUUUGGAUGAUCCUGUUUGGACUUAAUGGAGCAAUAGGCAUUCGUGUUUCGAAUAAACUCAGGGCUGGUAAUCCACAGGCCACACAUUUGGCAGUAUGUGUUGUUGUAGUGAAUGUCUUUUUUGAGGGCAUCGUAGUUGGAGCAGUGAUAAUAAUGGAUAUAUUAAUGACAUUAUUCUACCUAACAAAUCCUACAUUUUCAAACCGAUGAGCUACGGAUGAAGAAACAUGUAAUGUACAUAUGUUGUUGCCUAUUGAGAUAGAUACAUGUAACGAGAUUUACAUUAAUUCAUGGUGAUAUUGAUGUAUAUAUAUCUUUCAAUCUACAAACUUAUAUUUUAUUUAAUUAUU